CAAUCAGAGGUUCAGGCCGUGAUUCAGCAGCCCCAUACAGGGGCCAUAAACAUUAUUUCAAGACUGAGAACAGAGAUACUAAACAAGUCAUUGCCUCUCCUGUGAGAGAAAGGGUUGUCAUAAGGGUUUCCAGAUUCAUAUUGUUGACUGUCCAGAAAAGCAAUGAUCAUUGAUGACUGUAACAAUACUAAUUAAAGAACAUAUCUAUUCUGUAUAGUAAUGAAGAAAGUGACAGAAAGGUGACAUAAAGGCAGACAGAAACUGGUGACAGAAAGGCAAAAAAUCAUGAAAAAAUACACCUUUCAACUGUAUGAAUAGAAAUCUUGGAUUGCUUCAAGUAUCCUACCUAAAUAUCUGUAAAUCUUGGCUUCCUUGCUGGCAGGGCAAAACUACCGGGAAAAGUUGUGUAAAUCUUAAUGUGGAUCCAAGAUCAUAAUGAUUAAUAAUAAUAAUUAAAAUAAUAAUGAAUUUAACUCUACUUGAGACCAAUUGGUCUCAGGGAAGACCUGGCUUUUGUGACAGCUGUCAUCACAAAUCCAUGGGUUACCUGCUUUGUCCCAAGAACUACAUUCUUCAUUUGCUGAAUUUGCCUUCAGCGUACAAAUGAGAGCAUAGGCAGGUAGCUUUUCUAUCUGAAAGUUAAUUUUCUCUGCUAUUAUUAUUUUGACUUAGUUGACUUACAGCAAUUAUUUAUGCAGACCUAUCUCACUAACCUAAUCAGUUUCAACACAUUUUUUUCUCCAGAAAUCAACCUUGGGUGGCAGGAGAAAAGCUAUUAUUUCAGAUGCUGCUUUAUUGGAUGACAAUAACAAGCGUAUAGGGAGUAAUUGCUCAAUCCUGUUGUUGGUUUUUUAAGAUAUGAGCUAUAGCAGGCUGGGUUGGACCAAGAAAAGGAGCAGACAUCUGUUCACAGGUCCUCAGGCUAUGUUUUCUUGAUCUUUCCUCAUCACAAUGCCUUGAUUUAAGAAUAAGAAGUGCUGUGUGCAGCUGGAGAGUGAAAAUGCUGAUAUUUUUCUCUUUGUCCAUUGAUCUGAGCACUGCCCUACAUGGAUCUGAAGGGUUUCAGUGUGUCUCACAAAUCCCAGUGAAAUUGACUCUCAUUUAUCCUGUUAUUUGGCUAUUUAUUGUUGCCCUUUUCUUCCCUGUGGGCCUAGAUGUGACACACAGAUUCAUGCUAGCAUUUUCAAACACUGCCUCUGCAGCUGGGUUAAUAGCAAGAUGGUCAACUAAGAAGCCUGCUUUGGGAAGAUUUUUUUAUAUUCUAAAAAUAAAAUUUGCCAGAUGUUUAUUUAGAAAGCUGGUAGAGCAGACUGAGAGUAAUUCCCAUUUCUGCAAGUGGAAAUUGGAAUUCACUAUUACUGGGCAUUAAAUGUUUGGAUGCUUUUCCGAGGUCCUUAAAUCUAUUUCAUUUCCAUGUUGACAGAGAUAUUAGACAGCUGUUGGAAAAUCUGUCCCUUCUUCCAGUGCUGCAGCAAGAAAACUUUUCGUUUAACUACUGGGAGUCAAUAAAACCCUUUAAUGUACUAAUCAGUGCCGAGUGAAGUGAAGGAAAGUAUAAGAAAGAGUCCUUUCACUUCAAUUUUGUGCGAAACAUUGGCUCUUUCAGCUUACUGCUGUCACUGCUGGCUGUAUUUGUGACAGACUGGAGGGCUGAAGCAUGGUUCUGAACGGUGACUCCAAGGACUGGAUGUGGGAUCAGCAAAAGGUUCUGCUUUCUGCACACUUGGGAUGGAGCAGGAGAUUGUCCCUGCACUGCCCACAGCUUCAGUUGGGAGAAUGCGUGCACUCAAGCUUUUCUGCGCACAUGGAAGGACUGCUCAGUUCAGCCCUGAGAUGGCCACUGUUAAGAGGUGUUUCACAACUUGCUGGAUUCUCAGUGGAAUGCAUGAACAUCUUGGGAGAACUUCUACUGGUGAAGACUGCCUAUGAGCCCACAGGUGCCAGGGCACGGUUGGAACCUGCAGGCACUCCUGGCUGCAGAUGGCUGAGAAAAAAGACCCACUUGAGCUACUGAGGAAUCUUCCCACUUUCUAGAGUUACUGAAUGCCAUAGAGGAAAGGAACAAGUUUAAAAAACAAUUAGUAGGACAUGUGGUGCUCAUUCUUGGCUGAAGCUGCACAUUCUCAUCUGCCUGAAAAUACUCAGCAGUCGUUCAUGAAAAAUGUUUUUAAACUAAUGAGCUAUAUUUGCAUUCCCCUUAGAAUGGAUUCAGAAUUUUUCAUCUACAGUGCACCAUGAAAAAUGGAUGUGUUUUUCACAGAGGUAAUUUGAACAUAAACCACCGCAUCAAUGGAAGACAACCUUUGCAGAAACUUUUUAACUUAGCACAUUCCAUUUGUUUUCGCUGGGGAAGGUCAAACUUGUGUGAGAGAUGUAAAUUUCAUGCACAAACCUAGAUGCUGAUGAGAUUUGUUUUUGCAGAUAAUCUGCAGCAGAGAAAUUUUUCAUAAUGUCACUGCAAAAUAAAUUAAAAUGUUCAUCUUCAUAUGGCUGGUUCCAUUGCAUUAAAAUAAAUGUUGCAAGCUCAUUUAAUUAGUAUAGUUAGGAAUGUCUCUUCCCUGCUUCACUGACUCUCCAAAUCACAAGUUAAUUUGUCAAAAUCAGACCAUUGUUUUUCCUUCAUUCUUCAUUACUGAAAAGACAGCCCCAUUUAAAUAAAUGUUUAUGCUACAGAGAGCAGAGCGGUGAACAACCCCAAAUAUUUUUCUAAGGCAAUGUUAGAAAAGUUUUGAGUGCAAAGAGCUUUUGUGUGUGUGUGUGUGUGUGUGCCUGUGUGUAUUGUUAUUGGAUAUUUGACUAGCUAGCUGGAAAGGUACAAAAUUGAGCAGUCUGCUGUAACUGAUGAUGUUGCGCACACCAUCUCUCAUGCCAGCGGCUACAUGCACUUGGAAGCAGUUUUCUUCUCUGUUUUCAGAGACAAAUGAUGACAAAAGAUACAACCUCUAUAAAUUACCCUAAUCAAAUCAUUCUCUUCAAGAACUCUUGGUUAAUCAAUUAGUCAGUGUUCACAGUUCUUAUGAAUAUCACUUCAAAGCUUCCCAUAGUGUUGCUCUCUUCCAACAGCAAAUAUUUACAGCAUUUUAUUAAAAAUAAAUAAAUGAAAACAAUUGCACAUACAGCAAAUAGAGAACUUCUGCAACCAUACGGAGACCAUUCAUACAAAGCAAACAUUUUAGAUUUACAAAUAUCACUGACGUAGCAGUUACUUGAAUUUCUUUUUUUAUUAAUUGACUCAGUUAUUACAUACACCAGGAUAUUUCAGAGGGCAUGAUCACAAAUAGAUAGAAAAGACCACUAGAUCAUCAGCUGAGCCCCAUACUAACGCAUUUUUACACUCUAUGAGGCAGAUUUUCCUUCUGUGGCUUAUACUGCAGGACUGUUCUCCAGCCUUCUGGAAAAGCCUUUUGACCUUAAGAGGGAAAGCAGCUACAGCUCACUGCUCUCUUCCUUCUAACUGAGAAGAUUCAGAACAAACCACUUAGAAGAUUCCUGUGAUUUUUCUUAUCAAAUGGAAG
This is a non-coding RNA of Meleagris gallopavo (turkey), 3515 nucleotides long. NCBI's taxonomy places the organism in Eukaryota, Metazoa, Chordata, Aves, Galliformes, Phasianidae. The record is from RefSeq and is a predicted model, not a curated record.